Non-coding RNA from Marmota flaviventris (yellow-bellied marmot), 4219 nucleotides. The record is from RefSeq and is a predicted model, not a curated record. Lineage: Eukaryota; Metazoa; Chordata; Mammalia; Rodentia; Sciuridae.
CUCCCUCCUCCUUUUUCCUCUCUCUCUUUCUCUCUCUCUCUCUCUCUCUCUCUCUCUCUCUCUCUCUCUCACACACACACACACACACACACACACACACAUACACACACACACACACACACAUUCUCAUUCCCCUCUCGUGGUGGCAGCCGAUUGCCGGGCGUUCCCAAUCUCCCUCCCCCACCCCUUCAGCCACUUCUUAAAGGAGCAGGCCUGCAAUCUCCGAAGGCGGGAGAAUGGGGAAAAACUAAAUGUGCCUGUGGUGUGUGUGCGUGCAUGAGCAUGUGCGUGGGUGCGUGUGUGCCCAUGCUGGAGCAUGUGUGUGCCUGUGUAUAUGUGUUGACUGUGUAACUGUGUCAGAAGGCCUGUGUCUGAGCGGGUUGUUAUUUCUGUUUCUGUCUCCACCUAUGUGUCACCAUUAUGCUGCAUGUGUCUGGAUAUUUACCUAUGCGGGCCUGUCUGGCCCUGAGGGAGUCCCCUUUCUGAAGCCGUGGUGCUUGGACGACCAGCUCUCCACGUUGCCGGGCACCUGUAGGUGUCCCUCGAGAGCAGUUUUGAGGUUCAAGUCAGUGUGGCCAUGAAGGGGCUGCCUAUUGGGCUGAUGCUGUGACCCUGGAGUCUGCCUCUCCUGCCAGUCCCCCUGCCCGGAACAUGUGGCUGCGGCUUGGCCUGCCCUCGCUGCCCCUGAGCCCCACGCCCGCAGUUGGCCGGAGCCUGUGCCUCACUCUGUGGUUCCUCAGUUUGGUGCUGAGGGCCAGUACCCAGGCCCCAGCACCCACAGUCAAUACUCACUUUGGGAAGCUAAGGGGUGCCCGGGUGCCAUUGCCCAGUGAGAUCCUGGGGCCUGUGGACCAAUACCUGGGGGUGCCCUACGCAGCUCCCCCAAUCGGCGAGAAACGUUUCCUGCCCCCUGAACCACCCCCGUCCUGGUCGGGCAUCCGGAACGCCACACACUUUCCCCCAGUGUGCCCCCAGAACAUCCAUACAGCUGUGCCUGAAGUCAUGCUGCCCGUCUGGUUCACUGCCAACUUGGAUAUCGUCGCUACUUACAUCCAGGAGCCCAACGAAGACUGCCUAUAUCUGAACGUCUAUGUGCCCACGGAGGAUGGAUCCGGCGCUAAGAAACAGGGCGAGGACUUAGCGGAUAAUGACGGGGAUGAAGAUGAAGAUAUUCGGGACAGUGGUGCUAAGCCCGUCAUGGUCUACAUCCACGGAGGCUCUUACAUGGAAGGGACUGGCAACAUGAUUGAUGGCAGCGUCCUUGCCAGUUAUGGCAACGUCAUCGUCAUCACCCUCAACUAUCGAGUUGGGGUACUAGGUUUCCUGAGCACUGGAGAUCAGGCUGCCAAGGGCAACUAUGGGCUCCUUGACCAAAUCCAGGCCCUCCGCUGGGUGAGCGAGAAUAUUGCUUUCUUUGGAGGAGAUCCCCGCCGUAUUACCGUCUUUGGCUCGGGCAUCGGUGCAUCCUGUGUCAGCCUCCUCACACUGUCACAUCACUCUGAGGGGCUUUUCCAGAGGGCCAUCAUCCAAAGUGGCUCUGCUCUGUCCAGCUGGGCUGUGAACUACCAACCAGUGAAGUAUACCAGCCUGCUGGCAGACAAAGUGGGUUGUAAUGUACUGGACACUGUGGAUAUGGUGGACUGUCUUCGGCAAAAGAGCGCCAAGGAACUGGUAGAGCAGGACAUCCAGCCCGCCCGCUACCACGUGGCCUUUGGCCCUGUAAUUGAUGGUGAUGUCAUUCCUGAUGACCCUGAAAUCCUCAUGGAACAGGGCGAGUUCCUCAACUAUGACAUCAUGCUAGGUGUCAACCAGGGUGAGGGUCUCAAGUUUGUAGAAGGGGUGGUAGACCCUGAGGAUGGUGUCUCUGGCACUGACUUUGACUAUUCUGUCUCCAACUUUGUGGACAAUCUGUAUGGUUACCCUGAGGGUAAGGACACCCUGCGGGAGACCAUCAAGUUCAUGUACACAGACUGGGCAGACCGUGACAACCCUGAGACCCGUCGUAAAACACUGGUGGCACUCUUCACUGACCACCAGUGGGUGGAGCCCUCUGUGGUGACAGCUGAUCUGCAUGCCCGAUAUGGCUCACCUACCUAUUUCUACGCCUUCUACCAUCACUGCCAGAGCCUCAUGAAGCCUGCUUGGUCAGAUGCAGCACAUGGGGAUGAAGUACCCUACGUUUUUGGUGUCCCUAUGGUAGGCCCCACUGACCUUUUCCCCUGCAACUUCUCCAAGAAUGACGUUAUGCUCAGUGCUGUCGUCAUGACCUAUUGGACCAACUUUGCCAAGACUGGGGAUCCCAACAAGCCGGUCCCCCAGGACACCAAGUUCAUUCACACCAAGGCCAACCGAUUUGAGGAAGUGGCCUGGUCCAAAUACAAUCCCCGAGACCAGCUCUACCUUCACAUCGGGCUGAAACCAAGGGUCCGUGAUCAUUACCGAGCCACUAAGGUUGCCUUUUGGAAACACCUGGUGCCCCACCUGUACAACCUGCAUGACAUGUUCCACUAUACAUCCACAACCACCAAAGUGCCGCCCCCGGAUACCACCCACAGCUCCCACAUCACCCGCAGGCCCAACGGCAAGACCUGGAGCACCAAGCGGCCAGCCAUCUCUCCUGCCUACAGCAAUGAGAACGCCCAAGGGUCCUGGAACGGGGACCAGGAUGCCGGGCCUCUCCUGGUGGAGAACCCUCGAGACUACUCCACUGAAUUAAGUGUGACCAUCGCUGUGGGGGCCUCCCUCCUGUUCCUCAAUGUUUUGGCUUUUGCUGCCCUCUACUACCGGAAGGACAAACGGCGCCAGGAGCCUCUGAGGCAGCCUAGCCCCCAGAGGGGAGCUGGAGCCCCUGAAUUGGGAGCUGCUCCUGAGGAGGAGCUGGCAGCAUUACAGCUUGGACCCACUCACCAUGAGUGUGAGGCUGGUCCCCCCCAUGACACACUGCGCCUCACUGCAUUGCCCGACUAUACCCUGACCCUGCGGCGCUCCCCCGAUGACAUCCCACUCAUGACCCCCAACACCAUCACUAUGAUUCCCAACUCCCUGGUAGGGCUGCAGACAUUGCACCCCUAUAACACCUUUGCUGCAGGGUUUAACAGUACCGGGCUGCCCCACUCACAUUCCACUACCCGGGUAUAGCUCCAACCCAGAGCACAGCUCAUCUCCCAGCUCCCUCCCUUCCAGAUCCACAAACACAUGCACAUACACACACACACACAUAUAUACAUAUGUAUACGCACGCACCCACACCCUACAGCAGACCCAUCUGCACAAACAUAGACAGAUGUGGACAUGCACCCGCAUGUACAAAAACACAAAUACUGAAGUAAACCUGGACAAACCCUGCAAAUGGGGACACAAAUGAGUCCUUGGUAAACCAAGGAUCCAUGAAACAGCAGCUGAAGCCAGCUCCCUGAGCCUGACCACAGACACUCCUGGGGGGCCUGAAAGCAACAGCUGGACACCCCCUUGGUGCUCGCCUUUGGCCUCUCUUGGAACUGCACCAACGACCAACUCCAGACUUGGGAGCUUUAAAGAGCAGAGUAGCUCUUCCUCCCCCAGACUUGGUCUUUUUUCUGGGUCUUGUUUUUGUUGAUUUUUUUUAAAUUUUUGGAACAAAUGCUUUUCCAACCCAUGAGUGCUAAGAGGCUCUGGAAGGGAGGGUUCCAGGCUCAGCUCUUUCUGGUUUUGGAACCCCCCGUGCUCACACAAUCAGACCAAGGAACAGGACUCCCAAGAAAGAAACAGAUUUGAGCACAACCAUGGGGUGAAUGGAGGAAGGGGCUAAUGAUGGAUGGGGCUGGAGGGCCAUUGAAGAGAGAUCUCCAACAUUUUCUGUGUCCCUGUGGAGGGAUGCAGAUCCCCUGAAGGCAAACAGCAUUGACCUGGCUAGACCAGGGGACCCUAGGUUUGACAAACAAGGUACUGUGGAGGCCAUGUCAUUAUUACCCCCUCCCCACCCCACCCCCCAGGUAUAUAAUCUGGGUUCUGCCUCUGCCCUUGGGGAAAUGCUAUCAGAAAUUCACCCCAUUUUCUUUACAGUCUUUUGUGUCUGUCAUUUCUCUUUCAAAAAGGCGGUGUUUUUUGUUGUUGUUGGCUUUUUUUUUUUUUAAAGAAAAGUUCUUAAAACACUAACGGAAACCCAUGGAGUUUGUCCUUUGUAAAAAUUUUAAACACAGUGUCUUGAUAUAAAAAUAAAAAAUCCAGUUAGCACUCCCAA